ACGAGUUAGGGCCUCUGGCCCGAACCUCCAACCCUUUGUAUCAAAACCUCGUUGCCUCGGGGAGGCCCUGCCUCACGGCUGGCCCCCCGAUGGACCACUAAACUCUGCAACUGUAUGACGUCUGAGUAAAGAUUUUAAAUUAAAUCA
This 147-nucleotide unclassified non-coding RNA is filed under the name soil metagenome. Its description in RNAcentral is "partial internal transcribed spacer 1". The record is from RNAcentral.